This 297-nucleotide ribosomal RNA is filed under the name uncultured bacterium. Its description in RNAcentral is "partial 16S ribosomal RNA". It matches the Rfam family "Bacterial small subunit ribosomal RNA", at positions 335 to 648 of the family's 1533-position model. The record is from RNAcentral.
UGCCUACGGGAGGCAGCAGUGGGGAAUAUUGGGCAAUGGGCGCAAGCCUGACCCAGCAACGCCGCGUGAAGGAAGAAGGCUUUCGGGUUGUAAACUUCUUUUGACAGGGAAGAGCAGAAGACGGUACCUGUCGAAUAAGCCCCGGCUAAAUACGUGCCAGCAGCCGCGGUAAUACGUAUGGGGCAAGCGUUAUCCGGAUUUACUGGGUGUAAAGGGAGCGUAGGCGGCCUGGCAAGCCUGAUGUGAAAUACCGGGGCCCAACCCCGGGGCUGCAUUGGGAACUGCAAGGCUGGAGUG